Molecule: ribosomal RNA, 497 nt
Filed under: uncultured bacterium
Lineage: Bacteria
Description: partial 16S ribosomal RNA
Rfam family: Bacterial small subunit ribosomal RNA
Source: RNAcentral
GAUGAACGCUGGCGGCGUGCCUAAUACAUGCAAGUCGAGCGAACAGACGAGGAGCUUGCUCCUCUGACGUUAGCGGCGGACGGGUGAGUAACACGUGGAUAACCUACCUAUAAGACUGGGAUAACUUCGGGAAACCGGAGCUAAUACCGGAUAAUAUAUUGAACCGCAUGGUUCAAUAGUGAAAGACGGUUUUGCUGUCACUUAUAGAUGGAUCCGCGCCGCAUUAGCUGGUUGGUAAGGUAACGGCUUACCAAGGCAACGAUGCGUAGCCGACCUGAGAGGGUGAUCGGCCACACUGGAACUGAGACACGGUCCAGACUCCUACGGGAGGCAGCAGUAGGGAAUCUUCCGCAAUGGGCGAAAGCCUGACGGAGCAACGCCGCGUGAGUGAUGAAGGUCUUCGGAUCGUAAAACUCUGUUAUUAGGGAAGAACAAAUGUGUAAGUAACUAUGCACGUCUUGACGGUACCUAAUCAGAAAGCCGCGGCUAACUACGUG